RNAcentral lists this ribosomal RNA (291 nucleotides) under uncultured bacterium. RNAcentral's name for it is "partial 16S ribosomal RNA". It matches the Rfam family "Bacterial small subunit ribosomal RNA", at positions 773 to 1060 of the family's 1533-position model. The record is from RNAcentral.
GUGGAUUAGAUACCCUGGUAGUCCACGCCCUAAACGAUGAUGACUAGUUGUUGGAGGAGUUAAAUCCUUUAGUAACGCAGCUAACGCGCGAAGUCAUCCGCCUGGGGAGUACGGUCGCAAGAUUAAAACUCAAAGGAAUUGACGGGGGCCCGCACAAGCGGUGGAUGAUGUGGUUUAAUUCGAUGCAACGCGAAAAACCUUACCUACCCUUGACAUGCCAGGAACGCUGCAGAGAUGCAGCGGUGCCCGAAAGGGAACCUGGACACAGGUGCUGCACGGCUGUCGUCAACU